RNAcentral lists this long non-coding RNA (298 nucleotides) under Nothobranchius furzeri (turquoise killifish). RNAcentral's name for it is "lncRNA (ENSNFUG00015000778.1)". Lineage: Eukaryota; Metazoa; Chordata; Actinopteri; Cyprinodontiformes; Nothobranchiidae. The record is from RNAcentral.
GAUGUCUGUAAAAAGUGCAAAAAGUGGACCAGAAAGCAGACCCUCUUCUGCUCUCAGCACACCUACACGAGGAGGGAGGGCUGUAACAGCUGGAAAAUUCAAAAACAAGGCCCUUCAGCUAAGCCUCUCCAAGAAGUUCUGCACCAAGUCACCAUCCUCCAAGGAGAAGAGUCCUGAAGCAGCGGAGGGGAGUCGCAAGGGUAAACGAAGCCUCAGCAACAGCUCAGUGGUGGCAGCGGCCUACAUCUCCUUCCUGAACAAACUUUUUGGACAGGUUCGUUCUGGAGCACAUAAAUGA